Molecule: ribosomal RNA, 253 nt
Filed under: uncultured bacterium
Lineage: Bacteria
Description: partial 16S ribosomal RNA
Rfam family: Bacterial small subunit ribosomal RNA
Source: RNAcentral
GACGAACCGUGCAAACGUUGUUCGGAAUCACUGGGCUUAAAGGGCGCGUAGGCGGGCAGGCAAGUCGAAGGUGAAAUCCCACGGCUCAACCGUGGAAGUGCCCCCGAUACUGCCUGUCUCGAGGGAGAUAGGGGCGUGCGGAACUUCCGGUGGAGCGGUGAAAUGCGUAGAUAUCGGAAGGAACACCGGUGGCGAAAGCGGCGCGCUGGAUCUCUUCUGACGCUGAUGCGCGAAAGCCAGGGGAGCGAACGGG